GACGAACGCUGGCGGCGUGCUUAACACAUGCGAGUCGAACGGAAAGGCCCUGCUUGCCGGGUGCUCGAGUGGCGAACGGGUGAGUAACACGUGGGUGAUCUGCCCCUUACUUUGGGAUAAGCCUGGGAAACUGGGUCUAAUACUGGAUAGGACCAUGCUGUAGGUGGUGUGGUGGAAAGAUUAGUUUCGGUAAGGGAUGAGCUCGCGGCCUAUCAGCUUGUUGGUGGGGUAAUGGCCUACCAAGGCGUCGACGGGUAGCCGGCCGGAGAGGGUGGACGGCCACAUUGGGACUGGGAUACGGCCCAGACUCCUACGGGAGGCAGCAGUGGGGAAUAUUGCACAAUGGGCGCAAGCCUGAUGCAGCGACGCCGCGUGGGGGAUGACGGCCUUCGGGUUGUAAACUCCUUUCAGCCAUGACGAAGCCCUUGUGGUGACGGUAGUGGUAGAAGAAGCACCGGCUAACUACGUG
Molecule: ribosomal RNA, 469 nt
Filed under: uncultured bacterium
Lineage: Bacteria
Description: partial 16S ribosomal RNA
Rfam family: Bacterial small subunit ribosomal RNA
Source: RNAcentral